This 253-nucleotide ribosomal RNA is filed under the name uncultured bacterium. RNAcentral's name for it is "partial 16S ribosomal RNA". It matches the Rfam family "Bacterial small subunit ribosomal RNA", at positions 524 to 776 of the family's 1533-position model. The record is from RNAcentral.
UACAGAGGUCUCAAGCGUUGUUCGGAUUCAUUGGGCGUAAAGCGUGCGCAGGCGGGCUUUUAAGCCAGACGUGAAAUCCCCGGGCUUAACCUGGGAAUGGCGUUUGGGACUGGAAGUCUGGAGUGCGGCAGAGGAGACUGGAAUUCCUGGUGUAGCAGUGAAAUGCGUAGAUAUCAGGAGGAACACCGAUGGCGAAGGCAGGUCUCUGGGCUGACACUGACGCUCAUGCACGAAAGCGUGGGGAGCAAACAGG